GACGAACGCUGGCGGCGUGCUUAACACAUGCAGGUCGAACGGAAAGGCCCUGCUUUUGUGGGGUGCUCGAGUGGCGAACGGGUGAGUAACACGUGAGUAACCUGCCCUUGACUUUGGGAUAACUUCAGGAAACUGGGGCUAAUACCGGAUAGGAGCUCCUGCUGCAUGGUGGGGGUUGGAAAGUUUCGGCGGUUGGGGAUGGACUCGCGGCUUAUCAGCUUGUUGGUGGGGUAGUGGCUUACCAAGGCUUUGACGGGUAGCCGGCCUGGGAGGGUGACCGGCCACAUUGGGACUGAGAGACGGCCCAGACUCCUACGGGAGGCAGCAGUGGGGAAUAUUGCACAAUGGGCGGAAGCCUGAUGCAGCAACGCCGCGUGCGGGAUGACGGCCUUCGGGUUGUAAACCGCUUUCGCCUGUGACGAAGCGUGAGUGACGGUAAUGGGUAAAGAAGCACCGGCUAACUACGUG
This 468-nucleotide ribosomal RNA is filed under the name uncultured bacterium. RNAcentral's name for it is "partial 16S ribosomal RNA". It matches the Rfam family "Bacterial small subunit ribosomal RNA", at positions 28 to 507 of the family's 1533-position model. The record is from RNAcentral.